ACCGAAUAGAUACCCGGGUAGUCCACGCCCUAAACUAUGUCAACUAGUUGUUGGGAGAGUUAAAUCUCUUAGUAAACGCAGCUAAACGCGUGAAGUUGACCGCCUGGGGAGUACGGCCGCAAGGUUAAAACUCAAAGGAAUUGACGGGGACCCGCACAAGCGGUGGAUUAUGUGGAUUAAUUCGAUGCAACGCGAAAAACCUUACCUACCCUUGACAUGUACGGAACGGGGCAGAGACGUCCCGGUGCCCGAAAGGGAACCGUAACACAGGUGCUGCAUGGCUGUCGUCAGCUCGUGUCGUGAGAUGUUGGGUUAAGUCCCGCAACGAGCGCAACCCUUACCAUUAGUUGCUACAUUCAGUUGGGCACUCUAAUGGGACUGCCGGUGACAAACCGGAGGAAGGUGGGGAUGACGUCAAGUCCUCAUGGCCCUUAUGGGUAGGGCUUCACACGUAAUACAAUGGCCGGUACAGAGGGUUGCCAACCCGCGAGGGGAGCCAAUCCCAGAAAGCCGGUCGUAGCCCGGAUUGUUCUCUGCAACUCGAGAGCAUGAAGUCGGAAUCGCUAGUAA
Molecule: ribosomal RNA, 570 nt
Filed under: uncultured bacterium
Lineage: Bacteria
Description: bacterial SSU rRNA
Rfam family: Bacterial small subunit ribosomal RNA
Source: RNAcentral